This 3000-nucleotide long non-coding RNA is filed under the name Homo sapiens (human). Its description in RNAcentral is "HSALNT0036052". The stretch from base 1673 to 1961 matches the Rfam family "Metazoan signal recognition particle RNA". The record is from RNAcentral. Lineage: Eukaryota; Metazoa; Chordata; Mammalia; Primates; Hominidae.
GGCGCCGGGGGCUCUUCAGGCUCAGGGCAUAGGCAGGCGGCGGCCGCGUUUUCUGGAGACGGUCGCUCUCGGAGGGACCCUGCAAUUGCCCGAGACCGAGAGUGGGCGCUGCCUGAAAGUUUGUCCCUGGGCGCUUCGCUGGCCUCAUCCGGUCUCGGCCUUGUUCUGGGCCUGGCGCCUUUCCCAUUGUUGGGGAAAGUGGUCUAGGAGACCAAGGCAGCGUGCUGGGUGGGAGAGAAUGAUUUGUGGCUUCUGAUUCUGACAUAUGUCGUUAAGGAGGGGAGGGAUGAGUGACCCUGUUUUACUUAUGGAGAACCUGGGGCCAGAGCUGUUUUCCCAGGGUGACACAGGCGGUGAGUAGUGGAGCUGGCAUUCCUGACCCCAAAGCUCAGCGUUUCCCAGCCACUCUCCGCAGCCAGGCCUUCACCUGCACUGCUGGGCGCAGGUGGGGAAGUGGGGAAACGGUGCUCCAUCCCCUGCAGAGGGCAGGCGUGCGGGGAGCGGUGGCUGAACUCCACAGACAGCUACUGCUCAGCUCUUCAGCUGCCGGCUUUGAAGAGUGUGAGGGGCUCUGGGCAAGAGGCCCCCACAUUACUCAAGGACCAGAUCAUCAAGAGCUUUACUUGUCCCACAAAGGAGUCUGGACCUCGUUUAAGUGCACAGGAGACCGCUGGAAGGUCCUCAGUGGCGUGCCAUGGCCCGACUUCUAUUUGAGAAGUUUUUCUCUGGCCACCCGUCUAAGGAAAGGUGUAUACAGAGCUCUAACUGUCCUGUUCCAUCCAAAGGGGGAAAACCAAGAAGCACUUGUGAAGUUAACAUUUCAGAGACAGAGGAUCACUAAAAGGCUGAGACCUAAUCAUAGGACUGUGAUCACUCUUCUGUCCUUUGCCAUCUUACUACGAUAUUACUGUAGGGCCUACUAACUGCAGUUCCUCUUACCCAGUACCUCAUGUCUGAUGUCAAGAAGAAAAUUACAAGUCAUACUAAAAGGCAAAACACAAAGUUUGAAGAAAAAGAGCAAGCAUCAGACCCAGACUCAGAUAUGGCAGGAGUGUUAGACUUAUCAGACCGGGAAUUUAAAACAAUUAUAACUAAUAUACUAAGGGCUCUAAUGAAUAAAGUAGACAGCAUGCAAGAACCUGUGAAGCAGAGAGAUGGAAAUCCUAAGAAAGAAUAAAAAGAAAGGCUAGAGAUGAGAAACACUGUUCUAGUGAUGAGAAAUGCCUUUGAUAGGCCCAUGAGUGUAAUGGACAUGGCUGAAGAAAGAAUCUCUACGCUUGAGGAUAUAUCAAUAGAAACUUCCAGGACAGAAAAGCAAAGAACAAAGAGACUGAAAAAGUGAAACAGACUAUUCAAGAACUGUGCGACAACUAUGAAAAAAAAUAACAUACACAUAAUGGGGAUGCAAGAAAGAGAAGAGAAACAAAGAGAAGAGAAAGAAACAGAAAAAAUAUUUAAAAUAAUAAUAGCUUGAGCAACAUAGGGAGACCCCAUCUCUACAAGAAAAUUAAAAAAUUAGGGGUGCAUGGUGCACACCUCUGGUCCCAUCUACUCGGUGGGGUGAGGUGAAAGGAUCAUGUAAGCCCGGGAGGUCAAAUCUGCAGUGAGCCAUGAUUGCACCACUGCACUCCAGCCUGGGUGACAGAGUGAGACCCUGUCUCAAAAAAUAAAUAGAUGUGGUGGCACACACCUGUAGUCCCAGGUACUUGGGAGGCUGAGGCAGGAGGAUCGCUUGAGUCUGUACAGGAGUUCUGGGCUGCAAUGCACUAUGCCGAUUGGGUGUCUGCACUAAGUUUGGCAUUAGUAUGGUGACCUCUGGGGAAAGGCGGAUAACCAGGUUGCCUAAGGAGGGGAGAACUGGCCCAGGUCAGAAACGGAGCAGGUCAAAAUUUCCUUGCUGACCACACCUGUGAAAGGCCACUGCACUCCAGCCUGACCAACACAGCGAGACCCCACCUUUUAAAUAAAUAAACAAAAAAAGAAUAAUGACAGAGAUUUUCACCAAAUUAAUAUCAGGCACCAAACCAUAGAUCCAGGAAGCUCUGUGAACACCAACCAGAAUAAAUGCCAAAAAACUCCACCCAGGUAUAGCAUAUUCAAAGUAGAAAUCAAAGAUAAAUAAAACACUACUGGAGGCCAAGGCAGGUUGAUCAGAGGUCAAGGUGGGUGUAUCACUUGAGGUCAGGAGUUUGAGCCAGCCUGGCCAACAUGGCAAAACCUCAUCACUACCAAAAACACAAAAAUUAGCUGGACAUAAAUGGUGGGCGCCUGUAAUCCCAGCUACUUGGGAGGCUGAGACAGGAGAUUCGCUUGAACCCAGGAGGUGAAGGUUGCAAGGUUGCAGUGAGCUGACAUUGCACCACUGCACUGCAGCCUGGUGACAAAGUGAGACUCUUUUCCAAACAAACAAAGAAACAAACAAACAAAAACUAUUGAAAGAAGCCAGAGGAAAAAGCCACCUUACCUAUAGGGAGCAAAGAUAAGGAUAACAUCUGUCUUCUCCUCGGAAACCAUGCAAACAAGAAGAGUGUGAAGUGAAAUAUUUAACAUCUUGAGUGAAAAAAAUACACAACCUUGAAUUCUGUACACUGUAAAAUUAUUCCUCAAAACUGAAGAAUAAAUACAGACUUUCUCAGACAAACAAAAAUUGAGGGAAUUUAUUGUUAGUACAUGUGCCUUGUAAGAAAUACUGAAAGAAGUUCUUCCAAGGGAAAGAAAAACAUACAAGUCAGAAACUUGGAUCUAUAUAAAGAAAGAGAGCACUGAAGAAGGAAUGAGUGAAGAUAAAAUAGUAACUUAUUUUUUUAUUCCAAAUUGAUCUAACAGAUAACAGUUUGUUCAAAAUAAUAAUAGCAAGAAUGUAUUCAAUUAUGUAUUCAUAUAUGUGUAUAUAUAUCUACAGAAACAUAUAUACUUAAGUACAUUUAUGUAUAAGUGAAAUGAAUGACAGUAGUGAUAUAAGAGAUAGGAGGCAGGAAUUGGGAUUAUUUUGUUAUUAUA